CAGAUGGUCCAUAAAGCUUUCCAAGCAUCAGCUUUCGUCUCUGCAACUCCGAUCGCAAUGCCCUCGAAGACAGAGUGGAAACACAAGGCAACUAUAAGCAAAAUGCUGUCCCCAAAUGAGCCGAGAGUUGCAAACGAAGAUUUUGCAGGGGCAGCAUCAGUACCAUUGUGCAUCUGAAAAAAUGUGGCUGUGAAGUUCCAUGGUGGCUUGUUUUUCCAUGCUCAACGCUAUCUUGAAGCUCCAUAUCUCCAUUAGCCUCACUGCUUUUCUUGCCAUACACAUAGGAAAUAGCAGAAUCAGCAAGCAUAGUCAUCAAAUAACCAGCACUAGCCAACAUGAAAGCAAAAGGGUACGCUUUCUUAGUCAAGUCCUCGAAGGUCUCAUUUGCAUCGCUCAAGAAGUGCAUCAAAGCAGUCCCCAAGAACACCCCUCCAGC
Molecule: unclassified non-coding RNA, 436 nt
Filed under: Hevea brasiliensis (rubber tree)
Lineage: Eukaryota; Viridiplantae; Streptophyta; Magnoliopsida; Malpighiales; Euphorbiaceae
Source: RNAcentral